CCAGCAGCCGCGGUAAUUCCAGCUCCAAUAGCGUAUAUUAAAAUUGUUGCAGUUAAAAAGCUCGUAGUUGAAUUUCUGCUAAAAAUAACCGGUCUGCUUUUAAUAAAGGUGGUAUCUUGGUGUGUUUUUAGCAAUAAUGUCCUUUGAAAUGUUUUUUACUUUAUUGUAAUAAAUUAUAUUCAGGAUUUUUACUUUGAGAAAAUUAGAGUGUUUCUAGCAGGCUAACGCUUUGAAUACUGCAGCAUGGAAUAAUAAAAUAGGAUUUUGGUUCUACAUUAUUGGUUUUAAGAGCUAAAUUAAUGAUUGAUAGGGACAGUUGGGGGCAUUUG
This 329-nucleotide ribosomal RNA is filed under the name Hepatozoon felis. RNAcentral's name for it is "partial small subunit ribosomal RNA". It matches the Rfam family "Eukaryotic small subunit ribosomal RNA", at positions 567 to 894 of the family's 1831-position model. Lineage: Eukaryota; Apicomplexa; Hepatozoidae. The record is from RNAcentral.